Molecule: long non-coding RNA, 2020 nt
Organism: Megalopta genalis
Lineage: Eukaryota; Metazoa; Arthropoda; Insecta; Hymenoptera; Halictidae
Source: RefSeq, a predicted model, not a curated record
AUAUCCGCGUUUACGGUCACGUACGGCUGUUUUGGUAACGCUGUCGGUAACGUAGCGACGACGCGCCUCGCUGGUCGCGUCCAACAGGGCCACGGUGAUAAACCUACGUCGAAGAAUAAAAAGAAUCCGUGGGACAUUUCGCGGCAAAAGUUUUCGACCCGGAACCCCGGCUGGCUCGAACGUUCCCACGCGCGCGAGACUCGGUCUUCUAGAAUCGUCGCCGGUGCGGUGGAAGUGCGCAGCAAUCGUCGCGGCGAAGUAUUCGCCGGCGCGGGGAAAAGGCGAGCCCGCAUGUUCCGCGCGGCAACGGGAAUCCCGCGUUUUGAAUCGGAUCGCCAGGGCUCGAGGAUCGAUGCUGUCCCAACAUGGAGGGUGAACGGAUUCCGCGAGUUGCCAUAUGGAGAGACCGGUGGGGAAAGGGGAGGAGGUAACAAACAACGCCGGGGGUGUCGGUUGCUUUCGGGUUACUUACAUCAGUUAAGAGCCUCUCGCCUUGGGGGUCGUCGGGACGCGAUGAGAAAACACGUUUCCGCCGAUGGAAGGAUGAUGCCUCGUCUUGCUGGAACACGGUUGGUUCACACCUCUCUAGAUGCACCGUGACGAACAUGUGCCACACCUUGAACAUCCCAGAGCCUGCUCCUGCCGCUCCGACAUUGUGGACUUUUUCUCAGCUGGGGAAAAAGGGAAGGCAUCUACAGGAUAUACGAAGAAUCGGUGAAGAUGGAUUAAUCCGAGUCCCUUUUGUCGGCGUCUUCCAGGUUGCUUACUCCGUGCGGGAGCAGCUGUUUAAUCUCGCCGGGGAUGGCCAGCAAGACGCAACCCCACCAAAAGCAAGGGUCCCCAGGUCGAGGCAGUGUUGGGCGUUUCGGGAGAAGCCAUUCGGGCCACUGGGCCGAGCUAUGGCCUUGUAAUAUACAGCUGCAACAUGUAAUUGAAAAUUUCUAAAAUUUCGCCGCUUCGACGCCACUGUCCGAGCGUUAAUUUUCGUGGAACGUUUACGGCUCGAGAACGGAGGAGGCUUCUUCGGCUGCCGAAGAGAGUUUCGCCGGCGAAAGGAGAAUAUCGCACCUCCGUUAAUUUUGUAACGUUUCCAGUGGUUUCUAGAAUUGCUACGGUCAUCUAUAGCCGGAAAGUGCAUAGCCGAUGGCUCUCCGGCAAAGCCGGUUAAAUAUUUCUGCAUUGACGGAAGUUUCAAAGCGCUGUCGCCCCAGUUUCGCACGCGGUCUUCCCCAUUGUAAUCGACAUUUCCUAGAUCGAUGCCGUCCUAUGGACGUUUCUUCGGGCCGUAGCGUCGUAGCGCCGUUCACGCAGAAAACCAUUCCGGGGUAUACGCGGAAAAAGGAAGACGGUAAUUAAUGCAAUUAAGAUGCAACGUGGACGGGGCGGUGUCCGGUGCACCCGUACGCGCGCGCGCGCGCGUGCGUCUGUGUGUUCGUAGCGCGCACACGCGGGAGAUCGUGCGCGGCUCGAAUUAAAUGCGCAAGCAAAAACGAACAUAAUGUCUGUCUCCGGGUUCUCGUAACAUUCCCAUAACGAUCGCAUAAUAUUUUCAUAAUAUUCGCGCGCGAUAAACGGCAAGGAUAUCGGGGCGCACGCGUUUAUCGAACUCGGGCUCGGCCGCGGGUCUCGGGCCCACGCGUACCCCGCAAUUUCUCUAUCAUUGGAAAAAGAGCAACGUGAUGUAAGUAGCUGCUCGCUUUAAUUGGCCGGCACAGGAAUGGGAAAAAAUCGUGUUAAAUUGCACGCGACGAGAAAUAGUUUCCAACUUUCGCGAGAUCAGAGAUUCUCGUACGGAAUUCUUAACACGCGACAAUGCCGCGUAAACUGUGUCGGAAUAACGACGACCGACCUGUUAUCCGUUAUUUUUUAAAUUUCGUUUCUGAAACGUUUCUUUCGAUUUUCAAUUCAAUUUCGUUCGCGUUAUAUCACAAUUCUUAAUCGUUCAACGCGAAACGUUGCGACAUCUUCGAAUUUGCGAAAUUUGCACCUCUGUUAUUUUUUUUCAGCUUCAAGAUCUGUU